GGGUUCGAUUCUAGCUCAGGACGAACGCUGGCGGCGUGCCUAACACAUGCAAGUCGAGCGAGGAGAUCCUUCGGGAUGAUCCUAGCGGCGGACGGGUGAGUAACACGUGGGCAACCUGCCUCAUAGAGAGGAAUAGCCUUCCGAAAGGGAGAUUAAUACCUCAUAACAUUGCAGUUUCGCAUGAAACAGCAAUUAAAGGAGCAAUCCGCUAUGAGAUGGGCCCGCGGCGCAUUAGCUAGUUGGUGAGGUAACGGCUCACCAAGGCGACGAUGCGUAGCCGACCUGAGAGGGUGAUCGGCCACAUUGGGACUGAGACACGGCCCAGACUCCUACGGGAGGCAGCAGUGGGGAAUAUUGCACAAUGGGGGAAACCCUGAUGCAAGCAACGCCGCGUGAGUGAUGACGGCCUUCGGGUUGUAAAGCUCUGUCUUCAGGGACGAUAAUGACGGUACCUGAGGAGGAAGCCACGGCUAACUACGUGCCAGCAGCCGC
RNAcentral lists this ribosomal RNA (492 nucleotides) under uncultured bacterium. RNAcentral describes it as "bacterial SSU rRNA". It matches the Rfam family "Bacterial small subunit ribosomal RNA", at positions 9 to 518 of the family's 1533-position model. The record is from RNAcentral.